AAAGAUAGGAAGGGAAAGAAUAGACAGGAAAGAGAAAGGACAAAAAAAAGAGGGAGAAGAAAUGAGAUGGAAAGAGAAAAAACAAUGAGAAAAUAAAUUUAUGAAAAUUUUAAAAAUUAAAUUAUUAUAAAAUGUGCCAACGUUUCAUCAACAAACAACCGAAGUCAAGCAAGAAAUUUAGUGAUACUCAAAUCCAAGUAUAAUGAAGUUUGUCACACAAAUUGAUAUUCAUGGAUAAUAUUAUUAUAAACUAUAAUACCCAAGUUGAGGAACGAUAUGUGAAAUUUACUCAAAAUGGUACUUUCAAUCACUUCAUUUUAUUUUGCUUUUUCUGUAAAUGAAGUCCUAAGACAAGGUCAAUCCCAUUAGCUAUACCUACAUUCUCAUUCUCCCAACAUUUGAGCUAGGCCCACUUGGUAUUUAGGCACCUUCACGUCUACACCAUUAAAUAAUUCUAUAAGUUAAGAACCUUAAAAGUUCAAUUUUUCCAAACUGCAUUUUGAAGAGAUAUGAUGCAGUAAAGGAACAAUGGAUUUAAGAAUUAUUUGUAUUUGAUUUUAAUUGUAAGAAAUAAGGUCUUUUAAUUCCUAUUUUAUCAGGAAGUUUAUGUUUCUAAUAUUCAGAAAAUUUAAUUAGGAAGUAAUAUUUUAAUUAUUCAGAAUAUCUAUUAUUUAGAAUUUCCUAGUU
RNAcentral lists this unclassified non-coding RNA (687 nucleotides) under Hevea brasiliensis (rubber tree). The record is from RNAcentral. Lineage: Eukaryota; Viridiplantae; Streptophyta; Magnoliopsida; Malpighiales; Euphorbiaceae.